This 212-nucleotide long non-coding RNA is filed under the name Elaeis guineensis (African oil palm). RNAcentral describes it as "long non-coding RNA (EGUI_LNC047621)". Lineage: Eukaryota; Viridiplantae; Streptophyta; Magnoliopsida; Arecales; Arecaceae. The record is from RNAcentral.
AAAUCCUUCUAUAUUGAUAAUGUAAAUCUAUCUUUGGUCAAAAGUGAAAGAAUAAUGCCCUAUAAGUCAAUCACAUAUGGAAUGUGAUAGGAUAUUUUUUAUAAUUUAUCUUUCAAACUUAUGUAAUUGAUAUUAAUAUUUAAUAAAAUAAUAUUUUUGAUUUAUUAUAUGCCGUAUCUUAUUAUUAUUUUUAAGAUUAUAAUGAACCCCAU